Molecule: long non-coding RNA, 1199 nt
Filed under: Capsicum annuum
Lineage: Eukaryota; Viridiplantae; Streptophyta; Magnoliopsida; Solanales; Solanaceae
Description: long non-coding RNA (CANN_LNC009254)
Source: RNAcentral
GGCUUCAUAGGUUCUUACUACAAAGCAACUAUUGUUUCUUCCACUGGCCUUUAUCAUUACAGAGUCAACUACAAUACUCUCUUGACUGAUGAUAAAUCCGCACCACUGGAGGAGGUUGUCACUGCAGCUGAGGUCCGCCCUGUGCCACCUGAUCAACAUGAAAUAAUAUCAGAAAACUACUUCCGUCUGUAUGAUAUGGUUGAUGUGUAUGCGAACGAUGGAUGGUGGUUUGGAUUCAUCAGUGGAAAAGUUGGACAAGAGUACUAUGUCUACUUCCCUACAACCGGAGAUAACAUUGCGUAUCCUUCUCAAGAAUGGUCUAAUGGCAAGUUGAUCUUGAUUUCAAGAAAUUCUUGAUUUACUGUAAUGUGAUAUGAAUGUAGUUAACAUCGUUCUACUUUACGUCUUAUUGAAAAAUCCAAUCAAGUUUAGAGAUACUUAACAAGAAACUUUCCAUAUUUAACCAUAGAAUUUUUUUUUUCUUUUGACCAAAGAGUAUAAUAGGAAGGGCAAUUAACGGUUUUAGUUCAAGUCCCUAAUAAAUUAGGAAACUAAAAAAAUAAUAAAAUCAGAAUAAUGAAAAGUGGAAAUUCCUAUUCCUUGUUAUUCAAGGAGAAGAGGAAAAGAAUUCCCAUUCCUAAUCACCAAAGGAAACAGAGUUCUCUGCCUAUAAAUUCAGUAGCAAAGCUUUCAUAGUUCCUCACUUUUCAUUCAAUUGAAUCAAUCUUCGCUGCUGCUCUCGCAAUGGCUCCAAUCAGAGUGACAGAAUAUAAUUUUGAGCAACGCCACCAAUUAAGGAUGGUGAUGAUCUCAAAGGCAAUAAAAUCAAUUGCAUUCAAGAAACAACAGAUAACUAAAGAAUUCAAAAAGGGCGAUGAAGUUGAAGUGGCAAGUCAAGAAUAUGGCUUCAUAGGUUCUUACUACAAAGCAACUAUUGUUUCUUCCACUGGCCUUUAUCAUUACAGAGUCAACUACAAUACUCUCUUGACUGAUGAUAAAUCCGCACCACUGGAGGAGGUUGUCACUGCAGCUGAGGUCCGCCCUGUGCCACCUGAUCAACAUGAAAUAAUAUCAGAAAACUACUUCCGUCUGUAUGAUAUGGUUGAUGUGUAUGCGAACGAUGGAUGGUGGUUUGGAUUCAUCAGUGGAAAAGUUGGACAAGAGUACUAUGUCUACUUCCCUACAACCGGAGAUAACAU